Molecule: long non-coding RNA, 731 nt
Organism: Poeciliopsis prolifica (blackstripe livebearer)
Lineage: Eukaryota; Metazoa; Chordata; Actinopteri; Cyprinodontiformes; Poeciliidae
Exons: 3
Source: RefSeq, a predicted model, not a curated record
GCAUCUCGAAAGACGAACACCACAAGCCUGCCGCCUGAGCAAGACCGGCUGGAUUCUCCGUUCUUGUAUGCAUUUUGGUAUAUGGGGAGAUUGUUUAUUAGGAACAGUGCUCACUGAAAGGCUUGAGAUCUACCCAUUUACUGGCAAAGAGUUAUUCUGAAGAUGCAGUUCAGCUUGAUCUUAACUUCCUUUUUCUGUUUCAUAACAUGGAUAAACUUGGUUCAAGCAGACAAUGGGCCGCUUGAUGGUCAUUGUCCAUGUGUUAAGGUCUCCAAAAUAAUAAUCCCUCAUUCUGAUAUUAUGACUUACACCAGUCAGAAGAAAGGCGAAUGUCUCGUUAGUGCAGUUGCGUUUCGUACAGUGAAAGGACAGACAAUUUGCUCUGAUCCCAAUGAUCGAUGGGCAAAACAUGUAAUCCAGCAGCUGAAGAAAAGACGGAAUGAAAAAAUAUCAACAGGAGGAACACCACCACAGUCGACACGAACAUCAGCUCAAUCAACUUCAACAUCCUCACUAUGGUCAGGACCAUCGUCAACAUCAAGCCCAGCAUCUCUUUUAGGAUCAGAACCAACAUUAGCACCAUCAACCAAAACAUCAACCUCCUCAACGGGACCAUCCUCAAUGCCAUCAUCAUCAACUUUAGCUUCUGUAUCAACCCAGUCAACUCCAAACCCAACAUCAGCGUCAGCGUCAUUGUCAAACACCAUUGCUGGUACCUCUGGUACCACCUC